CGUUCCAUGGUAUAAUGGUUAGCACUCUGGACUCUGAAUCCAGAGAUCCGAGUUCAAAUCUCGGUGGAACCU
This 72-nucleotide transfer RNA is filed under the name Cordylochernes scorpioides. Its description in RNAcentral is "tRNA-Gln". It matches the Rfam family "tRNA". Rfam says of the family: Transfer RNA (tRNA) molecules are approximately 80 nucleotides in length. Their secondary structure includes four short double-helical elements and three loops (D, anti-codon, and T loops). The record is from RNAcentral. Lineage: Eukaryota; Metazoa; Arthropoda; Arachnida; Pseudoscorpiones; Chernetidae.